This 234-nucleotide long non-coding RNA is filed under the name Setaria italica (foxtail millet). RNAcentral describes it as "long non-coding RNA (SITA_LNC001255)". The record is from RNAcentral. Lineage: Eukaryota; Viridiplantae; Streptophyta; Magnoliopsida; Poales; Poaceae.
UUAGGUAUGUGUGGAGGUGUCAGAUACUACAACUUGUACUUUCAUAAGCGAGGGCUACUAAAAACAAAUUACCUCUGUCGAUGGUACAACCAAACUUUUCUCCUUUCUCUUGCUUGCUUCCGCCAGUGCUGCACUCAUGCAACGUGUCUGUCAGGGAGCUUGACAACACCACCACGGAUGACGCCGUGCGCCGCUGCUGCCGCCCCUCCACGAAUGCCAGGAAUUCGAUGAACG